Electrophorus electricus (electric eel) is the source of this 1454-nucleotide long non-coding RNA. NCBI's taxonomy places the organism in Eukaryota, Metazoa, Chordata, Actinopteri, Gymnotiformes, Gymnotidae. The record is from Ensembl.
GCUGGCCCAGCCUUUGAUUUGUCAGUGGAUUGUCAUUUAGUUAAGCGCACCUCCCGGUCCCCGUCGGGACUAACUAGGCAGACACACGCAGGUUGGUAUCCACUCCCUUCAGCCGUUAUGCACCGCCAUAAAGGGAGGGAUGUUUAUCAGGGACAAUUUUAAGUGGCGAAACCGGCCAUAGUUGAAUAUACACAGCGUUUUAUUAGCAAGAAACAGAUUCCGCUCUUACUACUUGAUUCCAAAAUGAAAUCCUACAUAGUGUUCUGUUUGAUAUGUAUGCUGCCUAAAAGUAUUUCUGCACAAGUUGCAUGCACGCCAACUACUGCGCCAGGGUCGGUAGCCAACGUUACGUCCAACUCUGUAAUACUACAGCUCCCAAACUGUUGCUUUAAUAAUAUCACAGGUGUGACUUGUAACCCGAACACAUGUCAGAUAUGGCUGGUGGCUUCACUGGAUACAGCGGCAGGCACUUUCGAUGCGGAUCAAUCCAAUCCGGGCUUUCUCAGCCUCUCCCCGUACCCAUCGGCUUUUCUUAACAACAGUUCUAAGAAUUACUUUCUGACCUCUGCUGGCUUGCUGAGUGCUUUGCCAUGCCCCUCCUCUACUAAGAACAACUUCAAAGUCGGAAAAGAUGGCCAGUGUUCCACCGCCAACUGCAAUGGAGUAUUACCUGUGGGGGCAGUCACCAGAUUCAAGUAUCUUCUUGUUGAUGCAGCUAACACAAAACUUCUGGCAGAGACACAGUGGUCUGACAGCAUUGCUCUCUACACCCCGAAAACCCCUGGAACCGGUGAUGGAUUUGCAGGAAGAUCAGGUGCUAUGGUCGUCAUCACAGCAAUUCUGUCUACUGCCAUAGGUCUUCUUUUGUUGCUCUUGCUGAUUGGCUGCCUGUUAGUAACCUGCUCUAGCGGGAAGACCAAAGAACAGAUCAGCACAUUCAGGGAAUCAUUCCGUAUCCCUCGCUAUGACACGCACAACCUGAAAAACCCUUCCCCAUAUGACAACCUCGCUUACGAGAGAGACACUAAGUACGCCACAGACGCCACCUUGCCUAAGACGGCAGCAAUGACCGUAGUGGUUGUUCCAAGCGAUGCAGAUAACAUCAAGAUGCAGAACAUAUAAUACGUGGGUACUUAAAGGGGCAGUUUGAUCCAAAAACACUGGUGUGGGUACCUACAAAUGGAAAUUAGCAAGGUGUGGGUGUCCCAGUGGCGUUUUGAUGAAACAACGCCUUUAACACAGUCAGAGGACUCCUGGUAAGCACAGUAACUCCUUUUAUUAUAGCAUAACCAAGUAAAGAAUGGUGUAUUGGGGCAUAUUAACAGAGGGGGGCUUGGGACAUGGUGGAAUAAGGAAAUGGUGUACAUGCUAGUAAAUGGAAAUAUACUUUACUGGAGCUGCAGACCUCAAAAUUAAAAUCAACAAAUAAAUAAAUAAUGCUGUGCAUUUUGUUU